Molecule: unclassified non-coding RNA, 217 nt
Filed under: rhizosphere metagenome
Description: partial ribosomal RNA internal transcribed spacer region
Source: RNAcentral
AUUCAGUAGCUUGCUACUGUCAGGAGGUGCUGUAAGCCCGCAUAGUUUAAUUACUGAUGAGCGGCAGGCCCUCUGUCUGUACCCUUGUCUUUUGCGCACUCAUGUUUCCUCGGCGGGCUUGCCCGCCGAUUGGACAAAACUAUAACCUUUUUAAUUUUCAAUCAGCGUCUGAAAAAACUUAAUAAUUACAACUUUCAACAACGGAUCUCUUGGUUCU